AGCGAGUGGGAAAGAGCCAGCCCCACGCCGGUCCGCCUCCUGCUGCCGGGCCUCCCUCCCGCCUGCCCGCCGCCUGGCUCGGAGAUUCUUCGCCCAGAGUUCUCCAUUCCCAGGAUCCCGGGCUCGCGGGGGUGCGGAGAAGAGGACCCAGGAAAGGUCCAGACUCUGGGAUCCAGUUUAGAGCAACUCAGAGAGAAGGCCAAACCCUUUUCUGUCACACCAUCUCUGGUCAAGGUGCUGGUCUGGCCUUCCCUACUGCCAAGGAGAAAUACCUAGGACACAGGAAGACUUUAAGGCCCAGACUUCAGCUUACCCGAGGCUACUGGUCCAGACCACCAUCAACUGAGCAUCAGGCCCUGGGUGUCCAUGGGGUUCGCCCCGAGGUUCCACAGAGCAGCAAGAAGACACACAACUGGAGCUUUCUUCCCCCUGUAUUAUUUUCUUCGCUGCACACCUACAAUUUAUUCAAUAUCCAACUCUGCACAGCGCUGUAGGGGCGAGUUCUGCUAACCAGAAAUCCCCUACAGAAGAUCACAGCUUUGUUCAUUUUUGCGUUCAGCUCGUCAAUUGAUUUGAUAAUUGCCUGGGAGACAUAUACAGGCAUACAGACACACAAAACAAAUGUCGGGCCACAGGCUUUUCCCUCGACAGUGGGAUGAAGAUGUUUUACUUACUGGAACUCAGAUGUCACCUGGAAGAAUAAGAGGAGGUACUGGGGAAAAAGAGAGAAAGGAAUGGAGACGGCAUGGUGUGGGAGGCAGGUGGUCCCCCUUGGUUACCAAGUGUGAUGACUCUCUGAAUAUGACAAUAAAUCACGGCAGGAAUCAAUCUGUCGGGAGGCUACUGCUCCAUGCUGAUAAUGCAUCAAUCAAUAUUUAAUGUUUACACUUUAAUUAAUCCACACACGGGAAGCAUUCUUUCAGUGACAAAAAUAAAGGGAUGAGAAAUAAAACACCUUUUAUAUCAAGGA
Molecule: long non-coding RNA, 970 nt
Organism: Onychomys torridus (southern grasshopper mouse)
Lineage: Eukaryota; Metazoa; Chordata; Mammalia; Rodentia; Cricetidae
Exons: 3
Source: RefSeq, a predicted model, not a curated record